GAUGAACGCUGGCGGCGUGCCUAAUACAUGCAAGUCGAGCGAACAGACGAGGAGCUUGCUCCUCUGACGUUAGCGGCGGACGGGUGAGUAACACGUGGAUAACCUACCUAUAAGACUGGGAUAACUUCGGGAAACCGGAGCUAAUACCGGAUAACAUGUUGAACCGCAUGGUUCAACAGUGAAAGACGGUCUUGCUGUCACUUAUAGAUGGAUCCGCGCCGCAUUAGCUAGUUGGUAAGGUAACGGCUUACCAAGGCAACGAUGCGUAGCCGACCUGAGAGGGGGAUCGGCCACACUGGAACUGAGACACGGUCCAGACUCCUACGGGAGGCAGCAGUAGGGAAUCUUCCGCAAUGGGCGAAGGCCUGACGGAGCAACGCCGCGGGAGUGAAGAAGGUCUUCGGAUCGUAAAACUCUGUUAUUAGGGAAGAACAAAUGUGUAAGUAACUAUGCACGUCUUGACGGUACCUAAUCAGAAAGCCACGGCUAACUACGUG
Molecule: ribosomal RNA, 497 nt
Filed under: uncultured bacterium
Lineage: Bacteria
Description: partial 16S ribosomal RNA
Rfam family: Bacterial small subunit ribosomal RNA
Source: RNAcentral